UACGUAGGAGGCGAGCGUUAUCCGGAUUUACUGGGCGUAAAGCGGGCGUAGGCGGCUUGUCAAGUCGGAUGUGAAAUCUCCCGGCUAAACUGGGAGGGUGCAUUCGAUACUGAUGGGCUAGAGUGCAGCAGAGGGAAGCGGAAUUCCCGGUGUAGUGGUGAAAUGCGUAGAUAUCGGGAAGAACACUAGUGGCGAAGGCGGCUUUCUGGGCUGUUACUGACGCUGAGGUCCGAAGGCGUGGGGAG
Molecule: ribosomal RNA, 245 nt
Filed under: uncultured Chloroflexota bacterium
Lineage: Bacteria; Bacillati; Chloroflexota
Description: uncultured Chloroflexi bacterium partial 16S ribosomal RNA
Rfam family: Bacterial small subunit ribosomal RNA
Source: RNAcentral